GCUGGGCACGGUGGUGCAUGCCUGUAAUCUCAGCUGCUCAGAAGGCUGAGGCAGGAGGAUGACAAGUUCAAAGCCAGCCUCAG
RNAcentral lists this small RNA (83 nucleotides) under Marmota monax (woodchuck). The record is from RNAcentral. Lineage: Eukaryota; Metazoa; Chordata; Mammalia; Rodentia; Sciuridae.